Molecule: ribosomal RNA, 253 nt
Filed under: uncultured bacterium
Lineage: Bacteria
Description: partial 16S ribosomal RNA
Rfam family: Bacterial small subunit ribosomal RNA
Source: RNAcentral
UACGGAGGGUGCGAGCGUUGUCCGGAAUCACUGGGCGUAAAGGGCGUGUAGGCGGUCCGGUAAGUCCGCUGUGAAAGUCGGGGGCUCAACCCUCGGAUGCCGGUGGAUACUGUCGGGCUUGAGUACGGAAGAGGCGAGUGGAAUUCCUGGUGUAGCGGUGAAAUGCGCAGAUAUCAGGAGGAACACCAAUUGCGAAGGCAGCUCGCUGGGACGUUACUGACGCUGAGACGCGAAAGCGUGGGGAGCAAACAGG